UGGGGAAUAUUGGACAAUGGGCGAAAGCCUGAUCCAGCCAUGCCGCGUGUGUGAAGAAGGUCUUCGGAUUGUAAAGCACUUUAAGUUGGGAGGAAGGGCGCUCGGUGAAUACCCAGGCGUCUUGACGUUACCGACAGAAUAAGCACCGGCUAACUUCGUGCCAGCAGCCGCGGUAAUACGAAGGGUGCAAGCGUUAAUCGGAAUUACUGGGCGUAAAGCGCGCGUAGGUGGUUCGGCAAGUUGGAUGUGAAAGCCCCGGGCUCAACCUGGGAACCGCAUCCAAAACUACUGGGCUAGAGUACGGUAGAGGGUGGUGGAAUUUCCUGUGUAGCGGUGAAAUGCGUAGAUAUAGGAAGGAACACCAGUGGCGAAGGCGACCACCUGGACCGAUACUGACACUGAGGUGCGAAAGCGUGGGGAGCAAACAGGAUUAGAUACCCU
RNAcentral lists this ribosomal RNA (441 nucleotides) under uncultured Azotobacter sp. RNAcentral describes it as "bacterial SSU rRNA". It matches the Rfam family "Bacterial small subunit ribosomal RNA", at positions 355 to 788 of the family's 1533-position model. Lineage: Bacteria; Pseudomonadati; Pseudomonadota; Gammaproteobacteria; Pseudomonadales; Pseudomonadaceae. The record is from RNAcentral.